GACGAACCACACAAACGUUAUUCGGAAUUACUGGGCUUAAAGGGUGCGUAGGCUGUGCAGAAAGUUAGGUGUGAAAUCCCCCGGCUCAACCGGGGAAUUGCGCUUAAAACUACUGUGCUAGAGGAAGACAGAGGUGAGCGGAACUUCGGGUGGAGCGGUGAAAUGCGUUGAUAUCCGAAGGAACACCGGUGGCGAAAGCGGCUCACUGGGUCUUUUCUGACGCUGAUGCACGAAAGCUAGGGGAGCAAACGGGAUUAGAUACCCCGGUAGUCCUAGCCGUAAACGAUGAGCACUGGGUUGAAGGGCCCUCCAUAGCCUUUCAGCCGCAGCAAAAGUGUUAAGUGCUCCGCCUGGGGAGUAUGGUCGCAAGGCUGAA
RNAcentral lists this ribosomal RNA (376 nucleotides) under uncultured bacterium. Its description in RNAcentral is "bacterial SSU rRNA". It matches the Rfam family "Bacterial small subunit ribosomal RNA", at positions 524 to 898 of the family's 1533-position model. The record is from RNAcentral.